Molecule: ribosomal RNA, 497 nt
Filed under: uncultured bacterium
Lineage: Bacteria
Description: partial 16S ribosomal RNA
Rfam family: Bacterial small subunit ribosomal RNA
Source: RNAcentral
GAUGAACGCUGGCGGCGUGCCUAAUACAUGCAAGUCGAGCGAACAGACGAGGCGCUUGCUCCUCUGUCGAUAGCCGCGGACGGGUGAGUAACACGUGGAAAAUCCACCUAUAUUACUGGGAUCACCUCGGGAAACCGGCGCUAAUCCCGGAUAAUAUCUUGCACCGCAUGGUUCAAUAGUGAAAGUCGGCGGUUGUGUCACUUCUAGAUGCAUCCGCGCUGCAUGAGCUAGUUGUUAAGGUAACGGCUUAUCAAGGCAACGAUGCGUAGCCGACCUGAGAGGGUGGUCGGCCACACGGGAGCUGGGACACCGACAAGACUACUGCGAGACGCAGCAGUAGCGUAUCUGCCGCAGUGGGCGAGAGCCUGACAGAACGGCGCCGCGUGAGAGGUGAAGGUCUUGGGAGCGUAAAACUGGGUUAUGAGGGGAGAACAAAUGUGUAAGUAACUAUGCACUGCUUGACGGUACCUGGUCAGAAAGCCACGGCUAACUACGUG